RNAcentral lists this ribosomal RNA (252 nucleotides) under uncultured bacterium. Its description in RNAcentral is "partial 16S ribosomal RNA". It matches the Rfam family "Bacterial small subunit ribosomal RNA", at positions 525 to 776 of the family's 1533-position model. The record is from RNAcentral.
ACGUAGGAUCCGAGCGUUGUCCGGAGUUACUGGGUGUAAAGGGUGCGUAGGCUGUUCUGUGCGUCAGAGGUGAAAUCCACGAGCUUAACUCGUGGGGUGCCUUUGAUACGGCAGGGCUUGAGUACGAGAGAGGUGCGUGGAAUUCCUGGUGUAGCAGUGAAAUGCGUAGAUAUCAGGAGGAACACCGGUGGCGAAGGCGGCGCACUGGCUCGUAACUGACGCUGAGGCACGAAAGCGUGGGGAUCAAACAGG